CAACGAACGCAACCCCUAUUGUUACGUUGCCAUCAUUCAGUUGGGCACUCUAGCGAAGACUGCCGGUAAUAAACCGAGAAGUGGGGAUGACGUCAAAUCAUCAUGCCCUUAUGACCUGGGCUACACACGUGCUACAAUGGUUGGUACAACGAGUUGCGAGUCGGUGACGGCGAAGCUAAUCUCUUAAAGCCAAUCUCAGUUCGGAUUGAAGCCUGCAACUCGACUUCAUGAAGGCGGAAUCGCUAGUAACCGCGAAUCAGCAGGUCCGCGGUCGAAUACGUUCCGGGCCUU
This 291-nucleotide ribosomal RNA is filed under the name uncultured Streptococcus sp. RNAcentral's name for it is "partial 16S ribosomal RNA". It matches the Rfam family "Bacterial small subunit ribosomal RNA", at positions 1090 to 1382 of the family's 1533-position model. Lineage: Bacteria; Bacillati; Bacillota; Bacilli; Lactobacillales; Streptococcaceae. The record is from RNAcentral.